ACUCAAAUGAAUUGACGGGGGCCCGCACAAGAGGUGGAGUAUGUGGUUUAAUUCGAAGCAACGCGCAGAACCUUACCUGGCCUUGACAUCCCACGACGCUAGCAGAGAUGUUAGUUUCCCUUCGGGGACGUGGUGACAGGUGCUGCAUGGCUGUCGUCAGCUCGUGUUGUGAAAUGUUCGGUUAAGUCCGGCAACGAGCGCAACCCCUGUUCUUAGUUACCACCAUUAAGUUGGGGACUCUAGGAAGACUGCCGGUGUUAAACCGGAGGAAGGCGGGGAUGACGUCAAGUCCUCAUGGCCCUUACGGCCAGGGCUACACACGUACUACAAUGGCAGAAACAAAGGGUUGCAAUACCGCGAGGUGGAGCUAAUCCCAAAAACACUGUCUCAGUCCGGAUUGGAGUCUGCAACUCGACUCCAUGAAGUUGGAAUCUCUAGUAAUCGCAGAUCAGCACGCUGCGGUGAAUACGUUCCCGGGCCUUGUACACACCGCCCGU
Molecule: ribosomal RNA, 497 nt
Filed under: uncultured bacterium
Lineage: Bacteria
Description: partial 16S ribosomal RNA
Rfam family: Bacterial small subunit ribosomal RNA
Source: RNAcentral